RNAcentral lists this transfer RNA (70 nucleotides) under Sula dactylatra (masked booby). RNAcentral describes it as "tRNA-Pro". It matches the Rfam family "tRNA". Rfam says of the family: Transfer RNA (tRNA) molecules are approximately 80 nucleotides in length. Their secondary structure includes four short double-helical elements and three loops (D, anti-codon, and T loops). Further hydrogen bonds mediate the characteristic L-shaped molecular structure. tRNAs have two regions of fundamental functional importance: the anti-codon, which is responsible for specific mRNA codon recognition, and the 3' end, to which the tRNAs corresponding amino acid is attached (by aminoacyl-tRNA synthetases). tRNAs cope with the degeneracy of the genetic code in two manners: having more than one tRNA (with a specific anti-codon) for a particular amino acid; and 'wobble' base-pairing, i.e. permitting non-standard base-pairing at the 3rd anti-codon position. The record is from RNAcentral. Lineage: Eukaryota; Metazoa; Chordata; Aves; Suliformes; Sulidae.
CAGAGGAUAGUUUAAUGUAGAAUAUCAGCUUUGGGAGCUGAAGGUGAAGGUUUGAGUCCUUCUUCUCUGA